CCCAACAAACUUAAUAUUUAAGGAUGAAAUUGAAACAAAUUAAUUGUAAAAAGAAGACCUAAAAAAAACAAAUUCAACUGGACUCAUAAAAUUGAAAUUACCCUAUAAAAAGCAAAUCCAAAAAAAUCACGAAGCCAGAUUCUCAAUAAAAAAAUAUUGAAGGAUGAGAUUGAGAGAGAAAAAUCAAUAAAAAGGAUAAAAAACAAAUAAAAAUUAAAAGAACGAGAAUCAAAUUGGACAUAAAAAAAUAAAAUCAAAUACAAAUGGAUGAAAUUAAAAGUAAAAUUCCAUAAAGAAAAAGGAUUUGAAACGAAACAAAUAACAUUCAAAAGAAUAAGGGUCAAAUUUGAUAUAAAAAUCAAAUAAAUUAAAAUUCAGAGGGACAAAAUUGAAAAACAAAAUCAAUUCAAAAAUGAAUUCAAAAUAAAACAAUUAGUCAAAUAAUUGAGAACCAAGUCUAAUAAAAAACAAAAUGAUAUGAUGCCUUUAGAUUUUGAUAACUAGAAGCCAACUCUAAAGAGAUGAGAUUGAAAAAGGGGUGAGAAAGAAAAAUGAUCGUCAGCACCAAAUCAAAACGUCGUUGUCGCACAUCAUACUAAAUGAAAGCUCUCCGUGUAUUGCUGCCAACAACACAAAAAAAAGAUGGCUUUUGGCUACCAGGAGACUCCACAUGCAUCGCCUAAACACGAUCGCAUCUCCCACCUGUUGGCGCUUACGUUGCAGCGCCAAUUUAUUUGACUUUUUUAUUUACCAUAUCUCCAUAUUUGUUUAAGUUUUGAUCUCUUAACUCUUAAUUGUUCUAAAUGAGCCAAAUUUUAUUUUACUUUGCAAAACCGAGCAUCAAUCAAGCCUUAAAAUUUUUCUUGAUAUUGCAAAAUCCUUUUAUAAAGAAAAAAAACAACCAUGUCAAAUCCCAAAUCAAACCAAUUUGAAAAAAUCAAAUUAGAAAAAAAAAGUUAAGCAACCAAUUUAAAAAAAAAAUGGCAUGAAACCCCCCCUUAACAUUCAAAUGAGUCCAUAAAUCUCACCAAAAAAGGGGGGUCGAACAUUUUUUAAGCUUCAAAUUCAAAUAAAUUAAAAUAAAGUUGAAGGACUGAAUAAUAAGUAACAAGAAUCAAGGGACCAAAAUGUAAAAAACCCAAGGGGUAAAAAAGAGAGGAAACAAUAUCGGAAUAAACAAUGUUUUCUCUCACGUCUGAGCACAUUUAGGUUUUUGUUAACAUCUAAUAAAGUAAUUUUCUUCUCACAGUUCACGCCUCGAGACCUUGAUGAUAUAGAUCCUUUUUAUCUUUAUCCACUCUGAAAACUUUUUGGAUGCUUAAAAUGCCUUUCCAGUGAUUUAAAUUUAAAUUAUUUGCAUCCUUCAACUUUCUUCUUGAUGUUUUUUUAACUUUGCUGAGCACUGUCCAGAUGCCAGAUGCAAUGUCAGUACACACACACAAAGACGAAACCCGAUAAAUAUACUGCUCUGAAUGGCUGGAUCUUGACGGCUGCGAUGAUGAACUGGAUCCAUGAGCUUCUUCUUUUUACCCAGUAUUUGCUGCCCUUCAAAAAUCAAUUAAUUAAAUUCAGGUGAAGUUGGGAUCACACUUUCUGGGCCUGGAAUACGAGCACAGUGGCCCUCAGUCCCUCACCAGCUUUAAGUUUUAGUGAUAAAAAUGUGUUAUAACUAUGUUUUUUUUGUUUUUUUAAAUUUAUUUUUAAUAUGAAAACAUAAAAAUAAUCUAAAAAUAUUAAAUUAAUAAUAUUUAAUUAAAAAAUUCAAGAACACGGUUAAACUGUAAUGCCAAACAGAGUUUCAAUUUCAAACUGUCUUGUGCAUGUUAAAAUAGAAACUACUAAGCUAGAAGUCGAGAAUAAUUGGAUGAAAAGAAAGAUGCUUGAGUGUUUCCACAAGAAAUUGCUGUUGAAAUAAAUUAUGAUUAGAAAUUAUAAAUAUAUUAAAAUCGAAUGUUUGUAAUGACCCAUUAUUAUCCUAAUUUUUCAGAAAAUUGAAAUAUUAUCGUCCCAGUUUUCUUACAUGUUUUUCAACGUGAAUUUUCAAGUGCUCAUUAGGGAAUCAAGAAGUGAACGACCCAUGAAUGCCUUGUUAUCAUAACGAGGCCAAAAAAAUAACGUAGACUUGCGGGCCAGAAUAUAUACUGAACUGAUAUCACAAGCCCAAGCUCCGACCAUUGACUAGCAAGUGAAGUUAUUGAACUUGUCUUUUUUUCGCUUUUAUUUUUGUAAGAAUAUAUAUAUAUAUAUAAAGGCACCUUAAGAAAUGCUUUGUUUUAUAUUUUCAUAAAAUAAGAAAUAAAAAAAAUGGGAAACCAUAUGUUAUCUUCCUUUCCCUGUUUACUCUCCAAAUCUUAGUCCAAACUAAUGAUUAGGCAAACAUUAUAUAAAGUUAUAAAUUUUAAAGAGUAUAAUUUAAUUGAUUAAGUUCUGAGUUUAUUUUCUAGAAGUUAUUAAUUCAAGUUUUAUAAAUUUCAAGGUCAUUGGAGAUUUACAUGAUUGUUAACUUUAAAAUUCAUAGAAUUAAUCAAAAUAUUAACUCGAAUAUCUACAGUAAUCUUAAGAAAAAGAAAAAGUUAUAGAAUUCUGAGAAAAAAAAAGCAUAUAAACAAGGAAUCAAUAAGACAAAUAACACUCAUGCUUAGAAAGGCCGCAAUGAGCAACAACGACGAAUCCAAGAUGUGGUGUUUGGGGUAAGAUUGUGUAAUUUUUAAGUUAGAGUGGUUUAUUUCAUAAAACUUGUUUGUACAGCUUGCAAUUUUUUGGGGUAUUUUGAAGAUUUUUAAAACUUUAGUAAAACCAGAGCCCCCUCCCUCCUUAAAUUUAAUCAUACAGGAAUGAUACACUUCUUCAUGGAUCAACAACUCUCUCUCUCUCACACACACAUAUCAAACAAAAAACAAUUUCAUCACCAUAAAACCAUUUCAUACGAUAGCAAGGAUAGAAAAAUCUAACAAUACUUUUUUUUAGCAAUGAAAUAGAUUAGUAUUGGUGUUGGUGCCCGUGUUGGGUGAUCUAAAACAAUAAUAUAAAAAAUAUUUAGAUGUAAUUAUUGUAUUAUUUUAAAUUUAAAUAAGUAAAAUAAUUCGUGAGUCACGUCAUAAACUUGUUUAGUUUUAAUAAGCUGAUUUUAUUUAAUUAUAUAAUAAAAAACCAAGACAAUGAAGUAAAUAAACCAAAUUUAAAAAAACAAUCAUGAUAACUUGCACAAAAACAAAUGUUUGCUAAAAGAAAAAAAUAUAUAAAGCUCUGUUUUCAAGCAACUUAAUAUCAAACAAAAAAAAAACACGAGAUAACCUUAUUGUUAUGGGUUUUUUGUGCUCACCUCAAUAAAGAUUAAUCUUAAUUUCAAAGUUAAAUGUUAAUGAUAUAAAUUCCAAACUUUGUUCCUACAAUUCUAGACUUGUAACAAUGUCUCUCAAAUAUGAGUUUAAGAUUUUAUGGUCUUUUUAUAUAUGUUGAAAGGAAAUUUGAACUUAAAAAGUAAUCAAAUAAUUGAAUGUUUUGAAUGCAAUAAAUAAAUUAAUAACUCAUGAUCAAAGAACUUGCAUGCAUUAAAUGAUUCUUCAAUUGAUUAUAAACACACAAGGGAAUUCCUUGACAAAAGAGCAUGAACUGAUAUAUGUUUUUAGUAUUUUCUAGAGUUUUUAUAAUGAAAACUACAAGCCUAUAGGUUUACAAUGUAAAUUGCAAGCCUACUAAUUAUACUUUGAGUUUUGUUAUAAAAUAACGUAAAGCUUGAGGAUAGAAGAGAAAAAAGAGGGAAGAGAAGGAUAAAAAAGAAGAGAGAGAGAGAGACUCUUACUGUGCAUCCACCAUUGCACACAUUGUGCAUUCAAAAAGCUCUUGUUGAGAUGCAUUAAACGCCACUAAAGAUAAAUGCAUUCUAACACCGGAAGCAAUUGCACGUGUGCCAGCUUCCUUUACACAUUGGUAUAUACAACACACACACUAACAUAUUUUUCAUUGUUUGUCAACCCCAGUCCCUCCAAUUGUUUCCAGUCUCAAAUUUAGUCCCUCAAGCCUUAACUGUUUGAGAUAAAUAAAACUAAGAUUUAUUUUACAUUUUAAAAGGAUCAAAUAAAAAUAAAAAUGGAGUGACCAAAUUUGUUUUUGGGUUUGAUCUCUCCCUUGCUUAUGCACUUUACUUCCUGGCUUUUCCAAGAAAAAAAGGUUGAAUAUUUAUUUAUUGUUCAUAUUCAAUCCCCUUAACUUAAAUUAUUUUAAAUCAAUACGAUUUCAUUUAAUUUUGCUAAACUGAAUAUCAAUCAAGUGUCGUUUCCCCCCUAACAUCAUGAGAAAUAUCAAGUCUGACACUAAUUUAAUCUAAUCUAAUUUUAAAGGAUAAAAUGAAGAGUUAAUAAAACUUGGUUGAAAAAAAAAACUGACACUGUUACAGUAAUUUUGUGACUGAGUGAAUAGUAAUUUCCCAAAAAAAAAAUUUAGAUGUAACUGUAGUUUUUAUAUUUAUAAUUCUUAUUGUGAUUCUCUCGGACAUGACAACGUAAUUUAAGUAUAGCUAUCAAACUAUUGUGAGACUACUUGGCCCUCUAACUGAGUUCUCAGACUCACCAACCCAUCCUUCGUCAGAAGUAACUCUUUCAACAAUUGUUUAAUGGCGCUCACGCUCAUGGCCAUAAAUGCACGCGUGUUUGGACCACAUAAUCCGCUCAACCUUACUUCAAUGUCUGAAAAGGAAAAAAAAUAAAAAAUCAACGAACAUGAAUAUUUUGAAGUUGGACCGAUCAACAAUAUCCAAAUUGCUUAUGGCCAUGCAAAUCAAAUACAAACGAAACCCUAAACUACAAGGGGCAAAAUCAAUUACAAAAUUUAGUAAAUUCAUUGUUUGAAAAACAUGGCUGCCUCGUGAAUUAAAUUAUCGAGUAUUUUUUAUAUAUAAUUUUCCCUCGUUUACUAUAAUUGUAGGACUCACUGUAAUGAGCUCUUAGAAUCAAGACUGUAAAUGCUCCCCGACCAUGUUGGGGGCAUUCAUCCAACCAAACCAACAAUUACAUUACAUUACCGAAAAAACUAAAAUACUUGAUGUUUUAGAACAAUGUGGACUACUACACAAUUCAUAAUAGUUCGGGGCUUUUUUUUAUUAUUUUGAUCAUCAAACUUUUUUCUUCUCUUUAAUUUGAUUUUUUUUUAUUGUAGAAUUAGUUGCCAGGUUCUUAUUAUUUGAUUUGUUAUGUAAAGACAUUUUUUUAAAAAGGGAUUAAAGUAAAAAAAAAAUAAAUUAUGUGGUGCUUUUGACAUUGGAGUCAAAAAAUUAGCUUUGAUUCACCUGCAAUGAAUACGUUUUUAGUCCAUUUUUUUUUCUAGAUUCACUCUCAAUGAAAAACAUUUUUUUUUUGUUUUAAUCUCUGGAUUUAAGAAAUGAGAGAAAAAAUCAUUGGAUUUCAAUGAAAAAAAUAAAUAAAUUCAAUUAGUGUUAAUUUUGACCAUAAAAAAAUUGAUUUUACUGUUAAAAAGUUUCAUUUAAUGAGAAUAGAUUAACAUUUUUCCUUUACUUUAUUUGAGAUGGUAAAUUUGAGCUUAAGAUGAUUUUUAGUUUCAAGUUGUUUUUAUUUUUUAAACUAUUUUUUUUAUAUCUUUUUUGUUUUAUACAUGAGCUUAUUUAGAUUUUUAGACUGUGUUGAAGUUUUUUUUUUUCAACAAAAUCUUUUUAAUUUUUUUUAUAUAUAAUUAUUUUAAUUUUAUAAUUUAAGUCAUAAAUUUAAUAAAUUAAUUCAGAUUAACUCAAAACAUUAUUUUUUUUAAAAAAAUUAUUUUUAUUUUUUCUAAAACAAUAGGUUGAUUUUUUCCGGUAGGAAACACAAGGGCACCGUCUUUACACUUUUUUUUUCGCGGUUAAAAUCCAACGAACUGAUCCCCACUGUAAAGUGACCGAGAAUCUAGUAAAACUUACUCUUUGUAUCUUAGCAGUGGUUAGUUAACCUUAUUUAAACUGGUUUAUUAACCAAACCAUGAUUACUGAGAGACAAGCCAAUACAGUAAAAACACGACAGAGAGACUUCAACAAUAAGCCUCAUAGUUUAAUAAAUUACAAUUUAAUAAAAAGAAGCAAGAGAUAAUUAUGUAAAAAGAAAAAACAAUUAUUAAAAUCUUUUUAAUAAUACCCACACUUGUCCUUUCUUACUCUCCAUGGGCAGCCCGAACUCACAAUCUUUUCAAAAUUUACAUCGAGAAGAACCCUGCCCGACCUGCCCUAAACCUGAAUGAGAAACUACGGGCAGUUAGUCAAUCAGUCACCAUGCCACACCAGUAUUCUCUGCUUUCUCUUUCUUUUUGUGAUGAUAUUUAUUUUUUUCUAUAUCUUCUGGAGUCUCUCUUCUGUCUCUACGAUCAAGAUCCAACGGUCCAAAAUGCAGGGAGCUCUUAACGCUUGUUUCUUCAGGUUUUAGAGCCUGAAACCUCCAGAUCUGCUCUCUCUGUGCUCAGAUCUUCAUUCCUGGUACGAUUUACCUCUCUAAUUCUCUUCCUUGUGUUUUAAUUUCUCUGUUUUGAUCACUUCUCUGCUCGGUUCGCUUCCUUAUGAGCUCGGUUCUGUACUUUUCCUCUGAGAAUGAAAGUUUUUUUCUGUUGAUUUCUUGUUUACUUGCCGUUUUGAGCUUUUGUGAGCGCUUUGAGUCAAAUUUAGCUCUCUUUGCCCCAAUUUUCUUGUUUACAGUGAAAACCGAGUAAUUCAUCUUGUUUUAUUCGCCCUUUUGUGAAGCUUUGCUCGUUUUUGCUUCAAAUUCUCUGUUUCCGUUGAAUUUUGAUGCUUUCUCCAUGAGAAUUUGCUUGUUUUGCUUCAAACUUCAGGACUUUGUCUGCUUCUGUUACGAUUUCCGAUAUAGUUUAACUUGACCUUGUGCUGGUUUUUCAAUUUUGAAUAUCUCUGUCGAAGACCGUCGCCGGCAAGGGUUUAUCUUCGCAGAAAGCUGUUUUUUGUCUAGUUCUGUGUUGAAAAAAACACUUUUUCUUUAAAAUACGUUCUCAUCUCUCUGUAUAACUUUUUUUCACUGCUAAACGAACAUUCUUGAAAACAAGAUUUUUAUUUGUUUUUGUUUAUAUAAUUAUGAGUUUCAUUUAUUUUUAUUUUUAUUUUUUUGGAUUUUUUUGUCUUUUGCGCGGUGCGAGAUCUGACAGCUGAUACGGUUUUGGAACAGAUCUAACGGUCAUGGAUCCUGUUUGCGCAGGUGCUUUUUAUUUCUCUUUUUUUUCCUUUUUUUGACGCCAGCAAAUGGAGGCUCGAUACGGAUCAGUGACAGUUACCCUUACUAACGGAUUGCUAAUGUGCGCCUGCGAGGUUCUGACUACUUUACUAGUUUCUGCUUUCUUCAAGGCCCAACUUUUGGCCCAGGUAAGUGUUUUUCUUUCAUUUUGCUAAGCUUCUUGUCCUUGAAGUUGUUAAUUGAUGUGUUUCUGCCUUUAUUUGGCUUCUGUUUGUGUUUGUAGUUCCUUUUAGGUUAGCGUGUUUCACGUUUCAUUUCCUGCUAACAUGCGCUGAUUCUAGCUAGUUUUUAACCCUGGUCGUGUUAUAUGCUCUAUAUGCUGCUAACAUGCGCCAAAGUGGCUUUCUUUAGGUGGUGGGUUUGGACAUUUUCUUAGGAUUACUAACCUUUUUUAUUUUUUAUUCGGCCUUAUCUUGCUUUCUCGCCGUAGAAGCGCACUGUAGGCUAAAUUGCGCAUGGGGCUUUUUUUUAUUAAAGAGCGCCGUGGAUUUGAAGAAAUAUUUGGGGUAUAGACGGUUUAGGACACGGUUUGAGUUCCGGUUUUGUUUGCUCUCGUGGGCCCGUGGGGACGGGGAUAUAAAAAAAAAAAUAAAUCUCUGCAGGGUAACUUUUUAUUUUAUGUCAUGUUGUGAUAGGAAAAGUCAUAUAAAAUGGGAAAGCAUCUUUUGAUGUUGUUAAGGCCGUGUUAGAAUAUUCUCUUAGGAUGCCUUGUUUGUCAUUUCUUAUGUCAUAGAAGAUAGACUAUUCCUAGUCGAUACGUGUUAUCAUUUAAUGAUAUAUCUUGAUUAUUUCAAGACGAUAAAUCUGCUGAUGCAUGAAAGGGUCUCUAAUUUUUGGCAUAUUCUAUUUCCCACCCUUGCUUGUACGUUUUGACGAGUCCCCCUCGCACCACCAACUUGCUUUAUUUUAUUUUUUAGGUCGUCAUUGAUCAAUUUAAAUUUUAAACCUACGAAGAUUCAACAGUUGAGGGUAGAGUCAGACCCAUUAAAAAAAAAUGUGAAAAAAUGUGGAGUUGUUGUGGUCGGUAACAAGUUUUAUUGAACGCUUAUUUUUAUAUUUUAAAAAUAUUUUUUAAAAAAUUAAAUUUUUUUAUAUAUUAAAUUAAUUUUUUAUUAUUAUUUUGAGGUGAUGAUGUGAAAAAUAAUUUUUUUAAAAUAAAAAAAAUAUUAUUUUAAUAUAUUUCUAAAAAAAAAACUUUAAAAUAAACACAGAUACGCUUUCUAACACGAUAGCAGAUGCAAACACGUUCGUAGAAGGCGAAGCCACUAUUUUCACAAUUUGCUUUAUGAUCAUAAUGGAAUCUCUGUACGGAUGCCUUAAAUUUCUUGAAGAAAAAGAAGUAUCCCAAACAGUGAGAUGAGUGUGACUAGUGAAGGGAUGUUUCUCUUAUCUGUAAAGAGAACCUCCUUUCCCUUUACAGUUGUGGUUGCCACAUAUAUUCCAGAGGCACCAUGGCCAGGUCUCACUUUCUUUUCAAAAUAGGGAAUAAAGAAAUAGAUUCUGAAAAAAAAAAAAAAGGAGAGAAGAACCUGGUUCUCGCUGGCAUGCUCUUUAGUAAGACGCUUUACUGACUUCCUCUUCAAAUGGAGAUAGUUUAUGGCCUUGGAUGCUCUCAGUUAUUUGGUCUACAGCACCUUUUGAUUCUAUUCCAUCAACCAGCUGAGAAUUCCAUUCUUGUUAAUUCACUUAUUUCUUUUAAUUUACACUCUUUUCGCACAGGCUUAUUGUUUCAUGGAAUUCAACAAGUGUCCUAGAUAGAUGUAGCUAGAAGUUGAAAAGUUUCUUUAAGGCGGAAAGAAAGAGAGAGCAGUGUGGGAUUUGGAAAUUUUACUUCAGAGGUUAGAAACUUGAACAAAAUGAAGACAAUUCCUUUACCUGAAUAUAUAUACACGUUUGCAUUCAAUAAACGUCUAUAAUGUCAAAAGCAAUGGGUUUUGCAACGAAAGAUACCCUGUAGCUAUGAUCUUCUUGAUGCUUUUCUGUUUAUUUUUUAAGCACACAUGAUGCUGCCUUUUGUUUAUCGAAGACUGUAUUGUACAGCUCUGCUAUUUAUUGUACUAUUUUGGAGACCUUGUGCCGUGCAAUUAUCUAUUGCCUAAGAUAUAAAGUCUCUGUUAGACCCACUAUGAAAUGCUAUUUCAUAAAAAUGGUUUCAGGAUCCCUGCGGGUUGUUGCUGACUGCUAAACCUAGAAUGAAGGGAGAUGAGGCACAAGGCCAUGAUAUUAACCCAGUUGAUGCAGAAGGAGAUGAUGAUAAUGAUGAGGACGACGGGGAUGAUGAUGAAGGGGAAGGUGGCUUCGGAGAAGGUGAUGAAGAUUUGUCGUCUGAAGAUGGAGAGGACUUGGCCAACAACCCCAACAACGACGACAAGAGUAACUCAAAGAAGGGUCCAGGUGGUGGAGCAGGCGGGGCAGAUGAGAAUGGAGAAGAGGAACAAGAAGAUGAUGAAGAUGACGGCGAAGGUCAAGAUGACGAUGAAGAAGACGACGACGAUGACGACGACGACGAUGAUGACGAUGACGGCGACGGCGGGGAAGAGGCUGAGGAAGAAGUUGAGGAGGUAGAGAACGAAGAGGAAGAAGAA
This 9802-nucleotide long non-coding RNA is filed under the name Populus tremula. Its description in RNAcentral is "long non-coding RNA (PTRE_LNC002399)". The record is from RNAcentral. Lineage: Eukaryota; Viridiplantae; Streptophyta; Magnoliopsida; Malpighiales; Salicaceae.